RNAcentral lists this long non-coding RNA (1173 nucleotides) under Musa acuminata (dwarf banana). RNAcentral's name for it is "long non-coding RNA (MACU_LNC001994)". The record is from RNAcentral. Lineage: Eukaryota; Viridiplantae; Streptophyta; Magnoliopsida; Zingiberales; Musaceae.
UUAAACUGCUCCCAAGUUACCACAUUACCUCCAGCCUCUAACAUCCUCCUUUUUGAGGUCCACCAAGUGUCUGCCUUCCCUUCCAAAAUGAAAGAAGCGAAAGGCACUUUCUGAUUUUCCCUACAUUCGAUAGCUUCGAAUGUCUUUUCCACUUGACGAAUCCAACGUUCAGCAAAGAUUGGGUCUAGCUUGCCCUCAAAAAUUGGUGGUCCCAAUCUCUUAAAGUGAUCUAAAGUAUUAUUCCUACCCCGUGGAAUUUCAUCUCGUUCCUCCUAACGCUCAAAGUAUCCUCUAAUAGCAUUGAAGACUCCGUGUACGUCAUCUUGAGCAUUGACGGGUGCUGGGGCAUGAGGGGCAUUCUACGAAGUCGGAGAAGCAGGUCUAUAAUCAGUGACAGGUGUACGUGAGGAUUGGGUUUGCUCUACGAUGCGUGGAGCUUCCAAGUUAUUAUUUGUUUGAACACCUCUCCGAGUGCGUAGACCGAUAGCAUUGCGACCAUGAGCACCCCGAGUGACAGGACCACUAAUCUCUGGAAUUGGCUCCAUUACUCCUAUAAUAUGUUAAAGACAAUCAUCGGUUAGAAUCAAUCAAGGGACCUAAUACACCUACAGGCCCUAGACCAUGCUCUGAUACCAUAAAAAUAUGUCACAUCCAGAAUUUAUUUAUUUAUUUAUUUAUUUAUUUCCACACAGGCCAAAUAGAGAAACAUCACUUUAUUCAUCAUCUAUAAUCAUUUAUUACAAUUCAUUUAUUCAUCAAAUUACAAAUAGAAAAGUAAACAUAGUGAUGUUAACUUCAAGAGUCAUCCUAGUGGCUCUACCUAGCGGUAGAGGAAGGUCCGCUCUCCACUAGAAUCUGAUUUAGUACUAGAGGGAGGCUGCUCUGAAAAUCAAAAACAAAGAAAAUUCAGCAACGCUGAGUAGGAACCCCAAAAGUCAAAUCAAGAUAAAUACAUGACCAAAAUUCAAUCAAUCAUCCCAUUGGCGUAUAUCAAAUACCCGAAGGAGCACUCCCCCAAUAGCGGAUGGAGAGGCUUUAUCCUACGGGAUGAGUUUGUGUUCUCCCAACAGCGGAUGGAGGCAAACUCAUAUCACACUCCCAACAGCGGAUGGAGUGGUGUCCCACACCCGCCAAAGUGGGGACACGUUCCUCCCAACAGCGGAUGGAGGAACC